Non-coding RNA from Camelina sativa (false flax), 583 nucleotides. Lineage: Eukaryota; Viridiplantae; Streptophyta; Magnoliopsida; Brassicales; Brassicaceae. The record is from RefSeq and is a predicted model, not a curated record.
CCUACCAACUCUAUUUCCAUUCAUUUUCUCUCCAUCAAAGAUAUUUUUUUUAAUAAAUAAACACAUUUUUUAUUUUUUAUUUUUCUAUUUAUUGUAACAUCAAUUUUUUUUUUACAUAAUUCAAAAGACAAUCAAAGUUUCUACUCUAUCACCCCUUGUUUCCACAUUUUUUUUGUUGAAAGAAUUCAAAAGACAAUCAAAGCUUCUACCUAUCACCUCUUGUUUCCAUAUUCUUUUGUUGAAAGGUAUGGCUAACCGCAGACAAAACAGAAAUUCAUCCGUGCAAAAAGAUACAAAUUUUCCUACAGAAACAUUAGCACGGACUGAAGAUAAUUUCAAAUGGACUUAUAACCGAGAAAGAAUAUUUAUUGAUUUGUACGAUCAAGCAAUUGCCAUGAAUGGUUACCGCUUCAAAGAUCCUACACCCAUUGGAUCAAAUGCCAGAGAAUGAUGAAGGUGACAUGGAGACUACGACUAUUGCUGAUGGAGAUCAAAUGACAAACACUAGAGAAAAUAUUGCAGAUAUGUUAUGGAAAAAUCAAAAUAAUUUCCAUUAAACUAUUGUAAGUUUUAUUUUUGUUGC